Molecule: long non-coding RNA, 1148 nt
Organism: Cercocebus atys (sooty mangabey)
Lineage: Eukaryota; Metazoa; Chordata; Mammalia; Primates; Cercopithecidae
Exons: 3
Source: RefSeq, a predicted model, not a curated record
CCAAGGUGCAGAGACUGGCUUUUCACAAAUCACAGGGGAAUAGGGCACAUGGAUAAUCCAGCCCAUGCUCUAAAUCAUCUCUCUUGGUUUGGGCCAAGUCAUAGUUCUCGUGGGACCUGCCAAAACAGAAGCUCGCCUUCUCUGGGACGGGUGGGGUAGUAAGAGAUGGGAUUUGUUUAGAACCAUCUCUCACCACGAGGGAAGGCUACAAUGUCCCUGGAAAGAUAUUGUCUGGUUCUGGUACUAAUUCGGCUCCAAUGACCUUGAAAGGUUAAGGGAUUUCUGUAACUCCUCCACUACAUAUAUAAGGGCUGCAACAAUGCGAUUUCAGGACAGCAUCUGUGACCUUCUCGAGCCGGAGCUGAAGAAUCAAGAGCGGGCCCGGGAGGCUUGCCCUCCUUUGCACCCUAGCUGGGUAUCAGUCCACCUGUAAAUUCAUCUUUAAGGGGAUGAACAAUCAAUACGUCCGUCGAGAAGUCUUCUGCUGUGAAACUUGUCAUGAGCUAAAAAGCUUCUGGGAAAAAGAAAUUAGUAAACAGACUUUUUACCGAGAACUGGAGGAAGAUCGUCAGGAAAGAAGUGCCCUGAAAAAACUCAGAGAAGAAUGGAGGCAGAGGCUGGAGAGGAGGCUGAGGAUGCUGGACAACCCUGAAGAGAAGGAAAAGCCCGCAAACACCGCAGACUGAGCGCUGCCUGCCUCACCGACUUCAAAGAUAGCAAGCGACCACGGGCACUUUUCUAGGGGAAAAAAACUAACACCUAAGUUAUGCUGACUUACUAAACAGGACGCUCUCUAUUUGUGCUUCCAUUUGCUAGGGGAUUUACAUGUGAAACCUCCCGCAGUGCUAAUGGGAGUUAUUAUCCUGCUCAAUCCCCUCUGCGCAGAGGACAGGAUGACCGCAAGUGGGAUAGGACGUUCGAGCUAUUUAAUCAAAAAGCUCUUGGAAUUAGCACUCCCCAGGUCUCACAGACCCAUGUAGCCUAGUGUAUUUCCACAUUUCCUUCUCAUUUUGAAAUGUUUCAAGUCUCGAGACGUUUGGAGUGUUUUCUCCAAGCUUACUGAGGGCAAUGACCUUGAGGAAAAUUUGACUUCCCCAGGUCUCCUGGAAAAAGAGUCAUAAAAUCUUGUCCUUCUUUCCCCGCUUUUU